This is a long non-coding RNA of Helianthus annuus (common sunflower), 2274 nucleotides long. RefSeq lists it as uncharacterized. The record is from RefSeq and is a predicted model, not a curated record. NCBI's taxonomy places the organism in Eukaryota, Viridiplantae, Streptophyta, Magnoliopsida, Asterales, Asteraceae. The transcript is spliced from 5 exons.
AUGUUUAUAAAUCGCUGAAAGUUGAAUCUGAUAAAAUCAAACUAAAACAAAUCGGUCGAUCUGAAAAGUUUUCGAUUCAUUUAUGACAGUUUAACGAUUCAACACGCAGUUUAGAACUGAUUCAUUUAUGACAGUUUAACGAUUCAACACGCAGUUUAGAACUGACCGUACUAACUGCUUGUUAAACCUUUUAAUAUACUCUAUCGUUGUAUAAUUUUAGUACAGUCAAUUCAUAUAUGAUAAUAGCAAAACAGAAUGAACAGUCGCAGGUUGGUGAUUCACCUACCUGCCUUGCCUUUCUCCUACCCUCUGCCCGCCACGUUGUAAAAAAGGUUUGACAUCUGUUUUUGUGGGUUAAGCUAAAUAUAAGGGGAUGAGAGAGAGAGAGAGGUAUGGAUUGAUGAUGGUGGAGCGGUUAACUGUGAUGACGGAGGACCACCGCCGCGCUGGUGAAGACCAUCUCAUCCGAUCGGCUAUUCCGAGUUGGAUCUUUCCCUCCCCGUCUUUGGUUUCCUCGGCUAAGCACCUGUUGCGUGGAGGGUCGUCGUUGUCGGCGGCCAUUUAAGGCCGUUUCUGGCGGGCAGCGGCUAUUCCGAUGACGCCGGUUGUUGCUGGUGGCUAUUUGACGCUGUUUCUGGCGGCGGUUGUUUCGGGGAGGCCCGUUGUCCGCGGCCGGUUUGAGUCCGUUUCUGGCGGCGUCGGCCUUCAGAUUUCUCCAAGGUCUGUAUGAAUUUCUGGUGGGUGGAGCUUGAUUAUUGGGUUUGUUAUGGAAUAUGAAAUCUGGUGAUCAAAAAGUUGUAAAGGUGGAAUCUUUGCAUGUUAUGAAUACUCAAAGAUCAAGAACAAGAACAUGAAAAAAGGUGGAGAGGUUUUCGGCUUUUCUCCUACCCAACGAUGAUGGUGGCUUGCUACUUGGUAUGGCAACUCCGGUUGCAACCGUAGCGCCACCGUGCGGGUUCAACGACGAUGAUGAUCUUUUCAGAUCUGAGUCGAUUGGUGUUGAUGAUUUCGUUUUUUUGUAUGUUAUGUUUUCUGAGAUUGCUGAAAUAAGGAGUCAUUUGUUGACAUUGAAGGAGUUGUUAUGGUUUCUCUUGAGACUAUUAAAGGCGCCUCUCAGCAGAUGUUGUAGAUGCUAUAAUUUGAUGUCUAUCUUGGACAUGAUUACUGGGAUACAGUUGCAUUCUGAGAUUAUACAUGUCUUGUCAUCAGAUUAGAUACACGUUUGUCUUAUAUAUAUAGGCUGUGGAACGCCUUUUAUACCAGCCAUAGAACUACGACUUCUGCCAGGUGACAUCUAUGUCGAAAGUAUUGAAUUUAAAUCAUUAAACCAUUAUGCACGUUUAAAUACUGGUAAAACAUCUGGAACAGUGAGGUAAACAUUUUUAAAAACUAUUUACUUGUAACAAUCUUUUUGUAGUUACUCCUAAAUCAGGAACUUGUCUGCCAUUGGAUUGAAGGGAGGAAUUAAUCUGGAUUAGCUGAUCUCACAGCAUUGCAAACCUUGUUAAAUUCAAGUAGCGACGAAGAUUCACCGUGUAAACAAGGUUACAACUGUGCUUCCUAUAAAUGUUGAGGAUCCUGCCAGAAGUAAAGUUGAUAUUGAGAUGGCUUUGGAGGCUGGAGAACAAUGUCCUGGGGUGAUGAUGGUGGCUUGCUACAUGACAAGGCAAUUCCGUGUGACCCAUGGUUUGUUGUUCACGGCGAUGACGAUAUGUGAUUCUGAGCCUUUGUUUUGUGACGACAAUGAUGACCCUUUUAGAUCUGAGUCAAAUUGGUUUUGUUGUUUUCAUUUUUCCUUUUUUUAGGUUGAUGUACAAGUUGUAUUAAUGGCGACGGUGAAACUGUUUGAUGAUCGUGGCAGUAGAUGCCUUUGUAUUGACGGCGCAACAGUUGUUGCCGUGAUGAUUUGAUCUUAAUAGUGAUAUUCAAAUACUGAUUAACCCCGCCGCGGAGCGCGGGUGGGAAAAAUCCUAGUUUAUUUAAAAACUGAUUUGGACCAACAAAUCGGCGAAUCCAACCCACCCACCCAACCUAGCCAGUUUAAUUCGCCGUUUGUGGUUAGCGGUUUGGUGCAUAAUUUUCAUCAAAACUAACCGAACUAGACUAUGAACAACCUUUAAAAGCACAACAUACUACAGGUUACAUCCUUCAAAGGUAAGAUUGUUAUUAUUUGACAAUUUUAUUUUUGACAUCAAGAAAGACCAAUAACUCAAUACUUGUAAGCUAGAGCGACACAAGAUGUUCUAACUUGAAAUAACUCUCCUAUAAUUUCUC